GUGAAGUGGGACUUAGUUCUUCUAUGUUUGGCCUCUGUGUUAUUUAUUUUAUUUAUUUUUUUGACAACUAGCUUAGAUAAGAGUUGAUCCUCCAAUUUCACUUAAUAAAUAGUGUCAAACCAUAAGCUUUGACAAUCAUUUUUAAUUUUUAUUGCAUAUAGCUCUAUGUAUUAUGACAUGGGCUACCACAGAUUCUGAUUAUAUUCACUCUUCAUCUAUUCUAAGCAGGUUUAGAUUGUUUGUGAUUGUGCCUGUCAUUUUUUUAUUUGAUCAUUAUUAGUUUUGCUUCCCAUGACCAAAUUAAAAGUCAUUUGUUAGCUGCCUGGAUAGCUUGGUAUCUAAUAUGUUACAGAGUCAGACCCUUUACUUCAAAUGUAAAAUGCAAUGCAGUAAAUGAAAUAUACUCAUUUAGCGCUUUUUUAUCCUGCUCACACUGGUGCCAACCUAUGCUAUAUUAUCAAAGUAUUGGCUCACACUAGGGAUGGCCCGUUUGACACGGGGCUUCGGCGCGCGGUUCAGCUUCAUGAAACAGAGUGUUUCGGCACAAUGUUUCGAAGCGUGUGUCAACCAGCGCAGAUCACGUGAUUGAUGACGUGUGACGCGCCAAAUGCAUCACUCACCUGAACCAGGUUUCAGAUCUCAGGUGUGUUUGAUCAGAAGGGCGCGCUGUUGUCUAUAAAUACAGAUGAAUCCCAAACAACGUUUCCCGACCAGUUCUGUUGUUUCCCGUGUAUCGUAAGAAUCUACGUCAUGGCACCCGGUAAAAAACGUUCUGUGGCUUGGGAUCAUUUCAACUUGAUUUCUCCAAAUAAGGUGCAAUGUUUGAUUUGCAAACAUGAAUUUGCAUUUAAUGAUAGUACAUCCUCCAUGAUGCGACAUCUCCGCUCCGUUCAUUAUGUUGAAACUCCGCAGUCGGCAAAUCAAGCCUUCAAUCCACCUUGUAUUGGUAAUAAGAAUAUAUCCAACUAAUGGCACACUAAGAACUGAAACAGAUAGCUCAGUGGAAAAAUCAGUGACAUGUGAAUGCUGAGGUUCUGGGUUUGAGGCUCAGCUUCUACAAUUAAUUUUUUUUUUUUUCUUCAUAUGUAUAUUUUGCAGUGUCAAAAAAGCAAGAACUUGAUUCUGCAUUGGUGGAUAUGAUUGUAAUGGAUGCACAACCAUUUUCAAUUGUUGAAGACAAAGGCUUCAAGGCUUUUGUCAACCUUUUGGACCCAUCCUACAUAAUUCCUAAUAGGAAGGCCUUGAGGACAAUGGUGGAGGAGAAGUACAAAGCCAAAAAGGAGAAGGCUUUAGAUGUGGUUAGCAGGGCCUCUGCUGUCAGCCUUACAGCAGAUAUGUGGACAUCCAUUAACAUGGACGCUUACUUGGCUGUAACAUGCCAUUUUAUCACCGAGGAGGUAGGUAUCCCCUGCUUUGUGCAAUGCUUUGGUUUAUGUAUCUCAGUUUGACUUUGUUCAUUCUCGGUGGAGCUGGCCUCUGUGGUCUUGGGGGUUCUGAAGUUUCCCCAAACCCACACUGCAGCUCACUUGGCUGAGGCCAAAAAUCUUCUCAUGGAAGAAUGGGGAAUUAAAGGGAAGGUGCGAGCCAGAUCAAUAAAGUACAAGAUCAUUCAUCAAUAUGGCCUCCC
Non-coding RNA from Oryzias latipes (Japanese medaka), 1627 nucleotides. The record is from RefSeq and is a predicted model, not a curated record. NCBI's taxonomy places the organism in Eukaryota, Metazoa, Chordata, Actinopteri, Beloniformes, Adrianichthyidae.